GAUGAACGCUGACAGCAUGCUUAACACAUGCAAGUCAACUUGAAUUUGGGUUUUUAACUUAGGUUUGGGUGGCGGACGGGUGAGUAACGCGUAAAGAACUUGCCUCACAGCUAGGGACAACAUUUGGAAACGAAUGCUAAUACCUAAUAUUAUGAUAAUAGGGCAUCCUAUAAUUAUGAAAGCUAUAAGCGCUGUGAGAGAGCUUUGCGUCCCAUUAGCUAGUUGGAGAGGUAACGGCUCACCAAGGCGAUGAUGGGUAGCCGGCCUGAGAGGGUGAUCGGCCACACGGGGACUGAGACACGGCCCUUACUCCUACGGGAGGCAGCAGUGGGGAAUAUUGGACAAUGGACCAAGAGUCUGAUCCAGCAAUUCUGUGUGCACGAUGAAGUUUUUCGGAAUGUAAAGUGCUUUCAGUUGGGAAGAAAGAAAUGACGGUACCAACAGAAGAAGUGACGGCUAAAUACGUG
Molecule: ribosomal RNA, 467 nt
Filed under: uncultured bacterium
Lineage: Bacteria
Description: partial 16S ribosomal RNA
Rfam family: Bacterial small subunit ribosomal RNA
Source: RNAcentral